UACGGGGGGAGCAAGCGUUGUUCGGAUUUACUGGGCGUAAAGGGCGCGUAGGCGGUCAGCACAAGUCAGUUGUGAAAUCUCCGGGCUUAACUCGGAAAGGUCAACUGAUACUGUGCGACUAGAGUGCAGAAGGGGCAACUGGAAUUCUCGGUGUAGCGGUGAAAUGCGUAGAUAUUGGGAGGAACACCAGUGGCGAAGGCGGCUCACUGGACCGGAACUGACGCUGAGGCGCGAAAGCGUGGGGAGCAAACGGG
This 254-nucleotide ribosomal RNA is filed under the name uncultured bacterium. RNAcentral's name for it is "partial 16S ribosomal RNA". It matches the Rfam family "Bacterial small subunit ribosomal RNA", at positions 524 to 776 of the family's 1533-position model. The record is from RNAcentral.